RNAcentral lists this long non-coding RNA (1145 nucleotides) under Setaria viridis. RNAcentral's name for it is "long non-coding RNA (SVIR_LNC002938)". The record is from RNAcentral. Lineage: Eukaryota; Viridiplantae; Streptophyta; Magnoliopsida; Poales; Poaceae.
AGAUUCGUCUCGCAAAAUACAACAAAACCGUGCAAUUAGUCUUUGAUUUCGUCUACAUUCAGUACUCCAUGCAUGUACCGCAAGUUUGAUGUGAUGGGGAAUCUUCUUUUUGCAUGGUGCCAAAGUUAGUAUUUUGGGAGAAACUAAACAGGGCCUAAGUUUUUCCAGGGAGUUUUACACAAGAUUGCAACGCACAAGAAUGAAAAGAAGAAAUAUUAGAUAGGCCAGGGGGCAGAUCAAAAGGCAGCCUUAUCAUCUUUUACCUCUUGCCAGAGGCACGGCAGGGGUGCGGCGCACCACCGGCGGCGCAUGGCUUGCCUCGUCGGCACUCGGCGCGGCGGGAAAAGGAGCUGGCGCAUGAGAGGAGCGGGUUGAGAGGGAAGAAAGGAGCCUCACCGGCGGUGAGCUGGAGGAACGGAGAUGCACGGGCGGCCAUUAAUGGCCUUCAAGCUUGUCCGGCCGUUUCCAGGGAGAGGAAAGGAGGGGGCGACAGUUUAAGGCCGGGAGUGGGGGAGAGGAGACGACGCAAGGUUGUGGAGGGGCUCGGGAAGGCCAAAGGUCGCUGGGAGGCGAGGGGCCCCGGCCGGCGGCGCACAGGGGGGCACACGGCACCCAUGCGUGCGUCCCUGGAGCCUGAACGGUUGGAGGUGGGGGUGGAGCUGACGGGUGGACUCCGCCAGUCAGUAGGAGGGAGAGGGGCUGGCCGGUUGGGCCACUUUGGGCUGGUUGUGGAGGGAAUCCUUUGGGCCGGCGCAUGGGAGGAAAAGGAGGGAGGUGGGUCGGCCGGAAUGGAAAGGGGAGAAGGAGAAGGUUUGGGCCCAAAGAGAGAGGAAAAGAAGAUUGAACCCGCAGAUUGGAUUGGAGGAGAAAAGAUUUAUAAAUUUUGAAACUUUUGCAAACAACACUUCACACAAAAACAAAACGAAAGAUAAAAACUUAUCAAACACUUGUCGCCUCUAAUAUUAAAUUCGAGUGCUCUUUAAUUAUUUAAAAACCGUAAUUUAAUAUUAGUAAUUUAUUUUAUUCCUUAGAAAAGAAAGUGCUAGACCACAUGUUGCUUACAUUGUGUUUGUGAUGGAAUUUUGGGCGUUACAGACGUCGUCCGCCACUAUGCAAACUAGUGGAUGAGUUGUUUAUUGAUCACG